ACGGGAGGCAGCAGUGGGGAAUAUUGGACAAUGGGGGAAACCCUGAUCUAGCGACGCCGCGUGAGUGAAGAAGUAUUUCGGUAUGUAAAGCUCUAUCAGCAGGAAAGAAAAUGACGGUACCUGACUAAGAAGCCCCGGCUAACUACGUGCCAGCAGCCGCGGUAAUACGUAGGGGGCUAGCGUUAUCCGGAUUUACUGGGUGUAAAGGGAGCGUAGACGGUUUUGCAAGUCUGAAGUGAAAGCCCGGGGCCCAACCCCGGAACUGCUUUGGAAACUGUAGAACUGGAGUGCAGGAGAGGUAAGUGGAAUUCCUAGUGUAGCGGUGAAAUGCGUAGAUAUUAGGAGGAACACCAGUGGCGAAGGCGGCUUACUGGACUGUAACUGACGUUGAGGCUCGAAGGCGUGGGGAGCAAACAGGAUUAGAUACCCUGGUA
RNAcentral lists this ribosomal RNA (434 nucleotides) under uncultured Lachnospiraceae bacterium. RNAcentral describes it as "partial 16S ribosomal RNA". It matches the Rfam family "Bacterial small subunit ribosomal RNA", at positions 341 to 792 of the family's 1533-position model. The record is from RNAcentral. Lineage: Bacteria; Bacillati; Bacillota; Clostridia; Lachnospirales; Lachnospiraceae.